Molecule: ribosomal RNA, 244 nt
Filed under: Metschnikowia bicuspidata
Lineage: Eukaryota; Fungi; Ascomycota; Pichiomycetes; Serinales; Metschnikowiaceae
Description: 25S ribosomal RNA
Rfam family: Eukaryotic large subunit ribosomal RNA
Source: RNAcentral
ACCGAUAGCGAACNAGUNCNGUGAUGGAAAGAUGAAAAGCNCUUUGAAAAGAGAGUGAAAAAGUNCGUGAAAUUGUUGAAAGGGAAGNNCUUGCAAGCAGACACAACCUUUUGGUUGGGCCAGCAUCGGGGCGAGGGGAAGGAAAAAAGAAAAGGAAAUGUAACUCUCGAGUAUUAUAGACCUCUUCCAAAACUUCCNUCUCAUCCCNAGGCUGCGGAUUCAUCCUAGGAUGCUGGNGUAAUGG